UGAGUACGAGACGCUAAGGCGUCGAAGUAGAGUAUGUCAUACUUCCAGGAAAAGCUUGCACUGACAUUCAUAAAAAAUGCCUGUACCAUAACCGACACAGGUGGGUAGGUAGAGUAUACUAAGGGGCGCGAGAUAACUCUCUCUAAGGAACUCGGCAAAAUAACUCCGUAACUUCGGGAGAAGGAGUGCCUUAUUUAUAUAAGGUUGCAAUAACAAGAUCCAAGCAACUGUUUACCAAAAACACAGGUCUCCGCUAAGUCGCAAGACGAUGUAUGGGGGCUGACGCCUGCCCAGUGCCAGAAGGUUAAAGAAGUUGGUUAGCAAUCGAAGCUAGUAACUGAAGCCCUGGUGAACGGCGGCCGUAACUAUAACGGUCCUAAGGUAGCGAAAUUCCUUGUCGGGUAAGUUCCGACCCGCACGAAAGGCGUAAUGAUUUGGAUACUGUCUCGGAGAGGGACUCGGUGAAAUAGACUUGUCUGUGAAGAUGCGGACUACCUGCACCAGGACAGAAAGACCCUAUGAAGCUUUACUGUAACUUGAAAUUGAAAUUGGACUUUAUUCGCGCAGUAUAGGUGGGAGGCAUUGAAAAUAAUCUUGCGGGAAUAUUGGAGCCAUCAGUGAGAUACCACUCUUGUAAUGUUAGAUUUCUAACUUUGAAUCAUUAUCUGGUCAAAGAACAGUUUCAGGCGGGCAGUUUGACUGGGGCGGUCGCCUCCCAAGUGGUAACGGAGGCGUACAAAGGUUUCCUCUGAACGGGUAGAAAUCGUAUCUAGAGUGUAAAGGCAAAAGGAAGCUUGACUGUGAGACCUACAAGUCGAGCAGGGACGAAAGUCGGUCUUAGUGAUCUGACGGUACUGAGUGGAAAGGCCGUCACUCAACGGAUAAAAGUUACUCUAAGGAUAACAGGCUGAUCUCCCCCAAGAGUUCACAUCGACGGGGAGGUUUGGCACCUCGAUGUCGGCUCAUCGCAUCCUGGGGCGGUAGUACGUCCCAAGGGUUGGGCUGUUCGCCCAUGAAAGCGGUACGCGAGCUGGGUUCAGAACGUCGUGAGACAGUUCGGUCCAUAUCCGGUGUAGGCGUUAGAAUAUUGAGAGGAGCCUUCUUUAGUACGAGAGGACCGAGAAGGACAUACCUCUGGUGUACCAGUUAUCGUGCCAACGGUAAACGCUGGGUAGCUAUGUAUGGAGUGGAUAACCGCUGAAAGCAUCUAAGUGGGAAGCCCACCUCAAGAUGAG
Molecule: ribosomal RNA, 1235 nt
Filed under: metagenome
Description: bacterial LSU rRNA
Rfam family: Bacterial large subunit ribosomal RNA
Source: RNAcentral